CUGGUGGAAUUGGACAAACGGGUCCUACUGGCGACCCAGGGCAUCCCGGAGUCCCUGGGGUCCCAGUGGUUGUUCUCUGGAGGAACUCAAAGGAGGAUUGGCUGUCAUUUACUCAAACCUCAUUUUAUCAGCUUCUUCGUGCAGGCUGGCCAAGCCAGCCUGGACCUCCUGGACUACCUGGACACCCAGGAAAGCCAGGAUUCCCUGUAAGUAGCAGUGGGAGAGAAAUUAUGUUUGGUU
Lacerta agilis (Sand lizard) is the source of this 240-nucleotide long non-coding RNA. RefSeq lists it as uncharacterized. The transcript has 3 exons. The record is from RefSeq and is a predicted model, not a curated record. Lineage: Eukaryota; Metazoa; Chordata; Lepidosauria; Squamata; Lacertidae.